This 367-nucleotide long non-coding RNA is filed under the name Nicotiana benthamiana. Its description in RNAcentral is "long non-coding RNA (NBEN_LNC010549)". The record is from RNAcentral. Lineage: Eukaryota; Viridiplantae; Streptophyta; Magnoliopsida; Solanales; Solanaceae.
AUUUGCCGUUUCGGCUAGCACAAUAGUGUAUUCCAUCGCUCCCCUUUCCUGUAAAGUAGUUACGACCUGGGCCACAGAAGAUGCUUUUUGCCCAAUAGCUACAUAAACACAUAUUACAUUUUGACCUUGUUGAUUGAGGAUCGUAUCUGUGGCUACUGUUGUUUUACCGGUCUGUCUGUCCCCAAUAUUUAAUUCUCGCUGACCACGUCCUAUAGGGAUCAUCGAAUCAAUAUCAAUAAGCCCGGUUUGAAGAGGCUCAUAUACGGAACGACACGAAAUAAUACCCGGGGCAGCAAAUUCGAUUAAUCGAAAUUCAGAAGCUGAAAUUUCACCUCUACCAUCAAUAGGUUUAGCCAGGGCAUUUAUA